GAUGAACGCUGGCGGCGUGCUUAACACAUGCAAGUCGAACGGAAAGGCUCCUGCUUGCAGGGGUACUCGAGUGGCGAACGGGUGAGUAACACGUGGGUGAUCUGCCCUGCACUUCGGGAUAAGCCUGGGAAACUGGGUCUAAUACCGGAUAGGACGAUGGUUUGGAUGCCAUUGUGGAAAGUUUUUCGGUGUGGGAUGAGCUCUCGGCCUAUCAGCUUGUUGGUGGGGUAAUGGCCUACCAAGGCGUCGACGGGUAGCCGGCCUGAGAGGGUGUACGGCCACAUUGGGACUGAGAUACGGCCCAGACUCCUACGGGAGGCAGCAGUGGGGAAUAUUGCACAAUGGGCGCAAGCCUGAUGCAGCGACGCCGCGUGGGGGAUGACGGCCUUCGGGUUGUAAACUCCUUUCGCUAGGGACGAAGCGCAAGUGACGGUACCUGGAGAAGAAGCACCGGCUAACUACGUG
RNAcentral lists this ribosomal RNA (465 nucleotides) under uncultured bacterium. RNAcentral's name for it is "partial 16S ribosomal RNA". It matches the Rfam family "Bacterial small subunit ribosomal RNA", at positions 28 to 507 of the family's 1533-position model. The record is from RNAcentral.